This 451-nucleotide ribosomal RNA is filed under the name Lottia cf. borealis 17_KurGl. Its description in RNAcentral is "partial large subunit ribosomal RNA". It matches the Rfam family "Bacterial large subunit ribosomal RNA", at positions 1953 to 2492 of the family's 2925-position model. Lineage: Eukaryota; Metazoa; Mollusca; Gastropoda; Lottiidae. The record is from RNAcentral.
AAGGUAGCGUAAUCAAUAGCCUAUUAAUUGUUGGCCUGUAUGAAUGGUACGACGCUGGUGGUGCUGUCUCAGUUGCAUUUAUUUGAACUUAACUUCCGGGUGAAAAGGCCCAGAUAAAUCUGAAAGACGAUUAGACCCUAUCGAACUUUAGGUAGAUCAGCUGUCAAGACACCCAGUAAGGGUAGAGCCUGCCUGCUGCUUAAACCUUUGGUUGGGGUAACCGGGGGUUAAAAAAACCGCCCCCCUCCUUUGAAAGUAGACACCCGCAUGAUGAAGGUAGUAGAGAUUUUACCUCCAGGGCAAUUGGCCUUCAGGAAAGUACCACCUUUUAUAAAAUUAGGAAAGUCUGACAAGACGUAACUUACUUAUAGAAUGAACCUAAAGAACUGUUUGCUAUCAGUCAACUGUUAAUAGGGAAGAGUUACCGUAGGGAUAACAGCGUAAUCCUCCC